UGGGGACGUACAGUAAUGACAUGAACUGGUGAGUAAUCUCUUGAUUUUGCAAUAUCACCUAGGGAUAGGGAUAAGACGAUCAAUUGCGCUAACUUCUGUUUAUAAUGCGGUAUUAAUUACUAGGGGAGGCUAGGGAUAGCAAGCCAGUAGUUAAUAUUAGGCCAUUUUCGCCGAGGGAUCGGGUUAAGGGGAGACUAAGAAAGUCGCAUAACAAUUAAUCAAACUAAUAUUCAAGGGUAGUAUGUAAGAGAGAGCGGAUUAGAUGAAAUUGUAAACCCCCAACAACUCCAUUCAUCCAUCCACUUUUGUGUUUAACCUCAAUUGAUCAAAUUGCAUUCAUGUUUAUUUUUCUGUACUUUAUAUUGAAAAAUCCCAAAAUAUUAUUUUUAUAGUCUUGAUUGGUUAAGCAAAAGCACAACAGUUUAGUGUCGUGAGUCUCUUGGGAAAACGAUACUUGGACUUACCAUUUAUUAUUACUUGAAACGAUUUGGUACACUUGCCAAUUUGUCAACAAGUUUUUGGCGCCG
Molecule: long non-coding RNA, 527 nt
Filed under: Vigna radiata
Lineage: Eukaryota; Viridiplantae; Streptophyta; Magnoliopsida; Fabales; Fabaceae
Description: long non-coding RNA (VRAD_LNC012303)
Source: RNAcentral